GAUGAACGCUGGCGGCGUGCCUAAUACAUGCAAGUCGAGCGAACAGACGAGGAGCUUGCUCCUCUGACGUUAGCGGCGGACGGGUGAGUAACACGUGGAUAACCUACCGAUAAGACUGGGAUAACUUCGGGAAACCGGAGCUAAUACCGGAUAAUAGAUUGAACCGCAUGGUUCAAUAGUGAAAGACGGUUUUGCUGUCACUUAUAGAUGGAUCCACGCCGCAUUAGCUAGGUGGUAAGGUAACGGCCGACCAAGGCAACGAUGCGUAGCCGACCUGAGAGGAUGAUCAGUCACACUGGAACUGAGACACGGUCCAGACGCCUACGGGAGGCAGCAGGGGGGAAUAUUGGACAAUGGGCGAAAGCCGUAUCCAGCCAUGCCGCGUGUGUGAAGAAGGUCUUCGGAUUGUAAAGCACUUUAAGUGGGGAGGAAGGGCAGUAAGUUAAUACCUUGCUGGUUUGACGUUACCAACAGAAUAAGCACCGGCUAACUUCGUG
Molecule: ribosomal RNA, 497 nt
Filed under: uncultured bacterium
Lineage: Bacteria
Description: partial 16S ribosomal RNA
Rfam family: Bacterial small subunit ribosomal RNA
Source: RNAcentral